Molecule: transfer RNA, 77 nt
Filed under: Deltaproteobacteria bacterium
Lineage: Bacteria; Pseudomonadati; Myxococcota; Myxococcia
Description: tRNA-Asp
Rfam family: tRNA
About the family: Transfer RNA (tRNA) molecules are approximately 80 nucleotides in length. Their secondary structure includes four short double-helical elements and three loops (D, anti-codon, and T loops).
Source: RNAcentral
GGGGACGUAGAUCAAUCGGUUAGAUCGUCGCCCUGUCACGGCGAAGGUUGCGGGUUCGAGCCCCGUCGUCCCCGCCA